Molecule: long non-coding RNA, 1654 nt
Organism: Vespa velutina
Lineage: Eukaryota; Metazoa; Arthropoda; Insecta; Hymenoptera; Vespidae
Exons: 5
Source: RefSeq, a predicted model, not a curated record
CACAAAGGGCGGCGCAUUAUUAGUUGUAGUAGUAGAUGCCACUUGUGCUAACGGCGGCGCUGCCAUCGUAAUCUAGAGUAGAUAGCGCUACAUGAGUCCUCAGUGGGCAGUCGAGUUGACAUCCAGCCAUAGAGUAUAGUUCGCGCAACUAACACGUCCUAGAUGGCAGCACCGGCAACAUCCGGAAUGGCGUCCAAAACCUCGACAAUAAAACCGAACACAUUUUCACAAAUAACUCGAUAAAUGUUCGAUCUUUAGUCAUGAUUAUUAUCAUCAUUCGUUCAUCGCUUACUAAUUUACAAGAAAGAUAUAAAUUUUCGGCCGAUAGAAUGGAAUAAACUACCAAAAACCGCACGAAAUACAGAGCGCACGGCGAUACGUCCCUUCCGUAUCAACGCCAUGAUGGAUCUAGCAAAAAAUAUGACAAUAUUAUUUAAUACGAAUGCGAAGGGAUAUUGGUUAUUUGAUAGGAUCGAUCGAUUGCGUAUUUUCAUAUUCUUUUGAGCCCGAGUUGAUUGCUCUCAGGUCUCUGUCCAUCGACCAAAUCGCCUCGCUUUCUCAAAUUAAAACUAUUUGUAAAACUUAGAAGAAACGAAGUAAGCUAUAAAUUUUCGUUCUGUUGUGAGCACGCAUGUGCACGAACCUGUAUUCUGUUUAUUUACUACGAAACCAACAUGCGAUAAAAAAUAGUGAUAAGCCGUAAUUGCAAUGGGCAGACAUUUUGGAAUAUUUAUAUCCACUGUUAUUGAUUUCUUUGUCAGUAGAGUAUUCUAAUCAUAGUAAUGUUAAAUAUUUGGAUCCCAAAAAGACACCAUAAUACAUCAAUGUAUUGACUAAAAUAGUAUAAAGUAAAGGAAAUGUUUCUACAAGGAAUAUUUUGGGAAUGCUUCUGUGACCAUUAUUUGUGUUGGCACGCAUAUAUAUUGCACAAACAUUUUUUACUUUUGCUUAUAUUCACGCACUUUUUUAUAUUAUAAAAAGAGUGGCAAUGAAAUCAAAAUGUAUUCAAAUCUAUCAUUGCGCAUUGUGGUACACUCUUCGAGAAACAGAAGUACUUAUUAAAAGUCAAGGACGUGAAUUAUAUAGAAAGCGAAUUAAAAGAAAAAAUUCAAAACGACAAAGGAUCGAUAAUUGUAUAAGCUCGUCACAAAUAAGAGGUAGAUGUCAAAAAAUAAAAUAGAUUAAGUAAACUACCUGGAAAUAUAACAUUUUAGAGGAAUAUUCGGAUCUUAACAGCAUAAUCAUGGAGAAAAAACAAUGAGUUAAAGGAUCAUUCAUAAGAGAUUUUUCAUCAGAGGUAGCUUCUUACCUUGCAUUGCAGAAAAAAUAAAAAAGUUUCAAUAUUUAGAAGAUCAUAUUAUCGAACAUGAAUAGCACAAGUAAAAAUUAAUACGCAAAAAUUACAUGAGUAUAAUGUAAUCAUUUGAUGCAUAAGUAUACUUUGAAAAUGAGGUAGAAGAAUAUUGUGAAUUUCACAAGACGUUGAAAAGGAACCGCUUGAACAAAAAAAUAUGGAAAUGGAAUAAAACAUUCAGACCAAAUAAUCUGGAUUUAGACCAUCGAAGGAAAGAGCAUUCAACAAUACGAGCAAGUAACAAGGAUAUUACACAUAAGCGAGCUUCUUGUGAAAGUCAAAUUUAGCAGCAACAAAUAA